UUUUAUUUGAGAGUUUGAUCCUGGCUCAGGAUGAACGCUGGCGGCGUGCCUAACACAUGCAAGUUGAGCGAUUUACUUCGGUAAAGAGCGGCGGACGGGUGAGUAACGCGUGGGUAACCUACCCUGUACACACGGAUAACAUACUGAAAGGUAUGCUAAUACGGGAUAAUAUAUUUGAGAGGCAUCUCUUGAAUAUCAAAGGUGAGCCAGUACAGGAUGGACCCGCGUCUGAUUAGCUAGUUGGUAAGGUAACGGCUUACCAAGGCGACGAUCAGUAGCCGACCUGAGAGGGUGAUCGGCCACAUUGGAACUGAGACACGGUCCAAACUCCUACGGGAGGCAGCAGUGGGGAAUAUUGCACAAUGGGCGAAAGCCUGAUGCAGCAACGCCGCGUGAGUG
Molecule: ribosomal RNA, 399 nt
Filed under: Clostridioides difficile
Lineage: Bacteria; Bacillati; Bacillota; Clostridia; Peptostreptococcales; Peptostreptococcaceae
Description: bacterial SSU rRNA
Rfam family: Bacterial small subunit ribosomal RNA
Source: RNAcentral